RNAcentral lists this ribosomal RNA (543 nucleotides) under uncultured bacterium. Its description in RNAcentral is "bacterial SSU rRNA". It matches the Rfam family "Bacterial small subunit ribosomal RNA", at positions 777 to 1320 of the family's 1533-position model. The record is from RNAcentral.
AAUAGAUACCCAGGUAGUCCACGCCGUAAACGAUGAGUGCUAAGUGUUAGGGGGUUUCCGCCCCUUAGUGCUGCAGCUAACGCAUUAAGCACUCCGCCUGGGGAGUACGGUCGCAAGACUGAAACUCAAAGGAAUUGACGGGGGCCCGCACAAGCGGUGGAGCAUGUGGUUUAAUUCGAAGCAACGCGAAGAACCUUACCAGGUCUUGACAUCCCAUUGACCACUAUGGAGACAUAGUUUUCCCUUCGGGGACAACGGUGACAGGUGGUGCAUGGUUGUCGUCAGCUCGUGUCGUGAGAUGUUGGGUUAAGUCCCGCAACGAGCGCAACCCUUGUUCUUAGUUGCCAUCAUUUAGUUGGGCACUCUAAGGAGACUGCCGGUGACAAACCGGAGGAAGGUGGGGAUGACGUCAAAUCAUCGAUGCCCCUUAUGACCUGGGCUACACACGUGCUACAAUGGACGUACAAACGGUUGCCAACCGCAAGGGGAGCUAAUCCGAUAAAACCGUUCUCAGUUCGGAUUGUAGGCUGCAACUCGCCUACA